CCUACGGGAGGCAGCAGUGAGGAAUUUUGCGCAAUGGGGGAAACCCUGACGCAGCAACGCCGCGUGAGUGAUGAAGGCUUUCGGGUCGUAAAGCUCUGUCAAGUGGGAAGAACCCGCAGAAAGGCAAUAUAGUUUUGCGCUGACGGUACCACUGAAGGAAGCACCGGCUAACUCCGUGCCAGCAGCCGCGGUAAUACGGAGGGUGCGAGCGUUAUUCGGAAUUAUUGGGCGUAAAGGGCGCGUAGGCUGCCAUGUAAGUCAGAUGUGAAAUCCCGGGGCUUAACCCCGGAAGUGCAUUUGAAACGAUGUGGCUUGAGUAUGGGAGAGGGAAGUGGAAUUCCUGGUGUAGAGGUGAAAUUCGUAGAUAUCAGGAGGAACACCGGUGGCGAAGGCGACUUCCUGGACCAAUACUGACGCUGAGGCGCGAAGGCGUGGGGAGCAAACAGGAUUAGAUACCCUGGUAGUCCACGCAGUAAACGGUGAUCACUAGGUGUAGCGGGUAUUGACCCCUGCUGUGCUGGAGCUAACGCAUUAAGUGAUCCGCCUGGGGAGUACGGCCGCAAGGUUAAAACUCAAAUGAAUUGACGGA
Molecule: ribosomal RNA, 589 nt
Filed under: uncultured bacterium
Lineage: Bacteria
Description: bacterial SSU rRNA
Rfam family: Bacterial small subunit ribosomal RNA
Source: RNAcentral